This 1736-nucleotide long non-coding RNA is filed under the name Homo sapiens (human). Its description in RNAcentral is "HSALNT0185779". The record is from RNAcentral. Lineage: Eukaryota; Metazoa; Chordata; Mammalia; Primates; Hominidae.
ACAUUCCUACCUCAGAGCCUCUGGAUUUGCUAUUUCCUGUGCCUGCAACACAAAAUUACAUGGUCCAUGCUCUCAUUCCAUUCAGGAUUCUACUCAAAUAUCACUUUAUUGAAAAGUCCUUCCUUGUUCAUACAGCAUCUGCCUUCAUUACCCUCCGUACUCUUAAUUAGUUGAUUUGUCGUGUUAGCACUUACAGCAACAUGACAUAUUAUGCUUAUUUAUUUGUCCAUUGUCUGUCUUCCACACUUGAGUGUAAGUUCUGUUUCAUGACAGCAGGGACUUUGGCUAUCUUUGUUCUCUGCUGUGUCCUCAGAGAGUCUGGCAUCUGGUGAGGGUUCAUUAAAAAUUUAAUGAAUGAAGAAAUGAACAAAUAUUAAUGUGGAUAAUUAUUCAGAGAGUUGGUCAAGAACAGCAAGUGGGUAGGUUCCAGUUUUGUUUUACAUGGAAGUUUGUAUAAACUGAAGACUAAGAUCAGAAUCAGGGAAAAUGUUCUCCUUUAUGUCUUCUCAAUGUAAAAAAUAGAAUGUAGUUGAAUGUGGUGGAUUGGUAAUAAAUAUGUUUAUUGUUCCAAAUUCCAUAUUUUAUUUAUUUAUUUUUUUAGGGACAGGGUCUCGCUCUGUCGCCCAGGCUGGAGUGCAGUGGUGCCAUCAUAGCUCACUGCGGGGUCAAACUCCUGGCCUCAAGCGAUCUUCCCACCUUGGCCUCUCGAAGUGCUGGCAUUACAGGCAUGAGUCACUGCGCCGAGCCCAAAUUCUGUAUUUUAGUAGUAGAAGUUGUCCACUUAUGUUUUAACCAUGGAAAUUAAAUUAUGUGUGUGAUCAUGAAUCCAAAUUUUGCUAUUUAUUUCCUAUUCUUUUUUUUUUUUUUUUUUUUUUUUUUUUGAGAUACGGCCUAGCUCUGUCGCCCAGGCUGGAGUGCAGUGGCGUGAUCACAGCUCACUACAGCCUCAACCUCCCUGGCUCAAGCGAUACUCCCACCUCAGCCUCCUGAGUAGCUGAGACUCCAAGCAUGUGCCACCAUGCCCAGCUAAUUUUUAAAUUUUUUGUAGAGAUGGGGUCUCGCUAUUUGCCCAGGCUGGUCUCAAACUUCUGGGCUCAAACCAUCCUCCCACCUCGGCCUAUUUCCUAUCCUUAUGGUCCUGGCAAUGCUGGUAAACUUGCAUUAGUUCAUUACAUUUUACUUGGAAAUGAAAAUUUUCAUCUAAGUAAAAUGCCUGAUGCAUUUUUUUUCUUUAAAUUCUGACCCCACUAGAUUAGUUUUAAACCCUUCUUGAAUCUAAUUUUUUCAAAGAUGCCAUUUUUCCAGGCAUUUGAAUCCCAUUUUCCCCAGAGCCUUUGUUUUGUGAAUAGUGCAUUCUAAGUAAAUUAAACCAAUGAAGCCUUAGUGAUAUAAUUGCAAACCUAUCCAGUCACUGCAUCUUCUACAAUGGAUUCUGGACUCAGCUUAAGUAGGACUAAUAAGUACACUAGUCCUAGUGCCUUCUCUGCUCUCUUUUGUGGCUUUGGAACACUCAGUUCUCUAUUUCAGAGCUUCAUCUGCAAGAGUGGAUAAUAGCAUUUGCCUCACAAUUGUGGUCUUAUGAGGAUCAAAUGUGAUGACACCAGGGAACCUGCUUUAAAGUAUUUAAAGUGGCUGGGCACGGUGGCUCACGCCUGUAAUCCCAGCACUUUGGGAAGCCAAGGCUGGUGGAUCACGAGGUUAGGAGUUCAAGACCAGCCUGGCCAAGAUGGUGAAAC